Long non-coding RNA from Alexandromys fortis (reed vole), 1432 nucleotides. RefSeq lists it as uncharacterized. Lineage: Eukaryota; Metazoa; Chordata; Mammalia; Rodentia; Cricetidae. The transcript has 3 exons. The record is from RefSeq and is a predicted model, not a curated record.
ACUCUCUCCUCUGGGCUUUGCUUUAGAGAGGACUUUUCCGCCUUGGUUUGGUCUAGUCUAUUUCUUUUGUGGCCAGGUCUUUGGAUUUCAUUGUCUUUGCCACGUGCAAUAUAGCUACUUUGUAUAAUAAGUUCAUUUGAAAACAUUUUGAGAAAAUAUACGCCAAGACAGAAUUUAGUGAUUUAAAGACGAGGGAACUCGCGCAAGGGUGUGUUGUUACUCGAACGUCUUCGUGAAUUCCCGCUCUAUUCUGUACGUUCAGGGCAGUGAAAACUGCUCACUCAGGGGGAAAAAAGCAAUACCAAACCCCCAAAACUAAUCGUUCCCUAAGCUCCCCCUCCCGAGAGAGAGAGAGAGAGAGAGAGAGAGAUGCCUUUACAGGCAGGUUUUUCUGAGCAAGGUGGCUUUUUGGAUGCCUGUCUGCCCCCCGCCCCCAGCCCUCUCCUGGGAAUGGGGCCUUGGACCUCACGCUUCUCCAGGAAACAAUCAGAAUAAUUUCCUACUGGGAAAAAAAGGAAAUGGAAUUUCAAAUGAAAAAUGAACAAGAGGGGCUUUGAUAGCAAUGCCACAGGGGCGCGCGCGCUCCUCCGCCACUCUAUACCUUUCUCCCCCGCAGGCUCUCGGUUUGGCAGUCCCGAGAGGCGGCGGGCAGGGAGUCGGAGUCGGCCUCUCCCCUCCUCACCCUGAGGGCGGACAGGGCGGCCUCAGCGCCCGGCGUGCGAGCCCUUUAAGAGCUCCACCAGCCGAGCUGCAGUUUGACAUCAGCCGGCCGGCGAGGGCGCGCCUGGAGUCGGAGCACGUGCCAGGAUGUUUUAUUGCCGCCGCGGCUGCGGCCGGACCCAGAGGAUGUGUGUGUGCGUGCGUGUGUGAGUGUGUAUGUGAGUGCGUGUGUGUGUGCGCGCGCGCGCCCCGGGGGCAGGGAGGCGGGGGCCGGCGGCGGGCCGCCGGGAGCGGGGGCCGGCUCUAGUCCCCGGGAGAAGCCAAGAAGCCUGCCAGAGACUGGGUUGCUGCCUUGCCAAGAGCUAUCCUGCUAGGGCUAUUGAAAGAGCUUUAAGGCGGCAGCCGGUUCCAUGCAGCUGGGAGUGUGUCCGGAGACACUGUCGACAUUCCAAGCGUCCUGUGCCUGCAUGUUUGUCUGUGGGUGCCUCCUGGCGACACCACACCACACCGGGGCUGGAAGGAAGCCGGAGAUUACUUUCUCUGUGGCCACUUUUCUGCUCUGGCUGCAGGUGUUUGGCUGGCUGGUGAUGUCAGGAUCCUUUCCGGGAAUCAUCAUCACUGUCUUCUCAGAUAAGAGCCUUCAAGCUCAUCACAGAAGUCCCAAGCAGAACUUCUCAUAACCUGGACAGUCCCCCAAAAAGGAAUUUGAACCUGUUCCUUUAUAUGCCCCUGUCUAUCUAGCAGGUGUCUAAUAAAUAAUUCCCAAAUGAAC